Molecule: ribosomal RNA, 497 nt
Filed under: uncultured bacterium
Lineage: Bacteria
Description: partial 16S ribosomal RNA
Rfam family: Bacterial small subunit ribosomal RNA
Source: RNAcentral
GAUGAACGCUGGCGGCGUGCCUAAUACAUGCAAGUCGAGCGAACGGACGAGAAGCUUGCUUUUCUGAUGUUAGCGGCGGACGGGUGAGUAACACGUGGAUAACCUACCUAUAAGACUGGGAUAACUUCGGGAAACCGGAGCUAAUACCGGAUAAUAUUUUGAACCGCAUGGUUCAAAAGCGAAAGACGGUCUUGCUGUCACUUAUAGAUGGAUCCGCGCUGCAUUAGCUAGUUGGUAAGGUAACGGCUUACCAAGGCAACGAUGCAUAGCCGACCUGAGAGGGUGAUCGGCCACACUGGAACUGAGACACGGUCCAGACUCCUACGGGAGGCAGCAGUAGGGAAUCUUCCGCAAAGGGCGAAAGCCUGACGGAGCAACGCCGCGUGAGUGAUGAAGGUCUUCGGAUCGUAAAACUCUGUUAUUAGGGAAGAACAUAUGUGUAAGUAACUGUGCACAUCUUGACGGUACCUAAUCAGAAAGCCACGGCUAACUACGUG